Molecule: long non-coding RNA, 659 nt
Organism: Herpailurus yagouaroundi (jaguarundi)
Lineage: Eukaryota; Metazoa; Chordata; Mammalia; Carnivora; Felidae
Exons: 2
Source: RefSeq, a predicted model, not a curated record
CACCCAAGCCGGAGCCAGACGCUCAACCGGCUGAGCCCCCCAGGUGCCCCACCUCUUGAUGGGGACGGCAAGAUUCUCGAAGCUCACACGGGACUGCAGAUAUUGCUGUGGCCGUAUUUGAAAAACAUGAGCUAUCAUAACAGAAGCGUCCCAGGGGAAGAGUGGAACAGACCUUGCUGCACCAUGGCAAAGGCUCAGAAUCUGGGGAACCAGCCCGAGGGAUACCCAGGGCUCCUUUAGCCCCGAACACAAUCGAGGGGCCGAUCCCCUGCCUGGAUCAGAGAUGCUGGGAGGACACUCACCCCGGGGCUUGCAACACACGGGGCACCCCUUCUGGGUUCGUCUUUGUUGUAAUCCGGGGAGGACUAAGCCAUCACAGCCACUAUCACAGAUGUUCUGGAAGGCCUACUAUCGGUGGUUCCCGUGAUGAUUGAUAGAUAGCAUGCCGUCUCUGCAAUCCUGCAUCUCUGGGCAGGGACCGAGGCAGACUGUUCUAAUCCAGGGGGAGGAGUCUUCUGACAAAGGUGUUCGGACCCUGGAGUUACCAGGCUAGCUGAGACGCUUUCAGACGAUCCCAGCCCCAGCCACUGUCUGACCGCACGCACAAAGGAGCAGGAACGGCCGAGCUGAGCCCAGGCAACCCCCCAGGACCAACAAGA